AUGGUGCCCUUGUCUACUCUCUGUCUUCUUCCUUGCACAGGUAUUUUAUUUCAAGAUUUCACACCUUAUUUACUAGUAGUAGGUUCUCUCAUAGCAUUUUUCGGUGGAGUUGUACUGGCAUCUUUGACUGAAGUUUCUUUCAACUGGUUAGUUAUAAUCUUCCCAUUUCUGAAAUUUCAAAGUCAAAUGAUUGGGGAAUGCAUCACACUAUCCAUUAGUUCAGUCAAGCUCACAUUAUUGGCAAUUGAGUUAAGUCUUAUAUUUAUAUGCCUGUAA
RNAcentral lists this ribosomal RNA (276 nucleotides) under Triticum aestivum (bread wheat). Its description in RNAcentral is "partial small subunit ribosomal RNA". Lineage: Eukaryota; Viridiplantae; Streptophyta; Magnoliopsida; Poales; Poaceae. The record is from RNAcentral.